Acanthosepion pharaonis is the source of this 109-nucleotide non-coding RNA. NCBI's taxonomy places the organism in Eukaryota, Metazoa, Mollusca, Cephalopoda, Sepiida, Sepiidae. The record is from the annotation of a GenBank genome assembly.
GGCCACAUUAGGUUUAAACACCGGUUUCCGUACGAUCAUCGAAGUUAAGCAACGUCAAACGUGGUCAGUAGCUAGAUCGGUGACCGCUUGAGAAUGCUAGGUGCUGAAA